UGUCUCUGUGAUUUUCAGAGGAUGAGAACCUCCGAAGGAGGUUUGCGCCGAGCGCAGCGAGACAACGUUGCUUCAGCAACGGCCCGCAGGGGAAUCAUCCUCUCUCGCCGACCA
This 114-nucleotide small RNA is filed under the name Erwinia sp. 198. RNAcentral's name for it is "RtT sRNA". It matches the Rfam family "RtT RNA". Rfam says of the family: This family represents a bacterial cis-regulatory element known as RtT RNA. The exact function of RtT is unknown although it is thought that it may be involved in changing the cellular response in relation to amino acid starvation. The record is from RNAcentral. Lineage: Bacteria; Pseudomonadati; Pseudomonadota; Gammaproteobacteria; Enterobacterales; Erwiniaceae.